Molecule: transfer RNA, 82 nt
Filed under: Echinostoma caproni
Lineage: Eukaryota; Metazoa; Platyhelminthes; Trematoda; Plagiorchiida; Echinostomatidae
Rfam family: tRNA
About the family: Transfer RNA (tRNA) molecules are approximately 80 nucleotides in length.
Source: Rfam by way of RNAcentral
GGCCUCGUAGCUCAGCUGGUAGAGAAUGCGCGCUCAAAGGAUAGGCGGGAUCAAUGCGUGGGUUCGAAUCCCACCGAGGUUA